UACCCGCAGCACAAGUGGUGGUCAUUAUUAUUGGGCCUAAAGCGUCCGUAGCUGGCCUGUUAGAUGCCUGGGUAAAUCGAUGCGCUCAACGUAUCGAACUCCGGGUAGACCGGCAGGCUUGGGACCGGGAGAGAUGUGAGCUACUCGAGGGGUAGGGGUAAAAUCCUGUAAUCCUUCGGGGAGGACCAGUGGCGAAGGCGUCACACUAGAACGGCUCCGACAGUGAGGGACGAAGCCCUGGGGCGCAAACCGG
RNAcentral lists this ribosomal RNA (253 nucleotides) under uncultured bacterium. Its description in RNAcentral is "partial 16S ribosomal RNA". It matches the Rfam family "Archaeal small subunit ribosomal RNA", at positions 474 to 727 of the family's 1478-position model. The record is from RNAcentral.